AUGGUGGUGGCAAGCACUCCACCGGCCGGCUUGGCAACCGGCGUGCUCCCAUGGAGACCGCGGACACAGCGUGGCCUGCAGACACCCGCGGAGGGGCGAGGGCGGCGGGGAAGCGCUCCGAGCCCCGAGGAUGGGAAAGGAUCCAGUGGUGCUGGGACUGACACCCGGCGUCGCAACAGAUCGGGGAUGGGUGCUGGGUUUGAGGACAGGGAUGGAGCCACGUCAUCCCCCGGUGUUGUGGAAAGAGGGGACUGUGGAGGUCCAGAUGGGAUGAGGAACACUCUUGGUCAUGGGUGCUCCCCAAAACCUCCUCGUUCUGGUCUGCGGCAGCAUCUCCUCAGACGCAGAGCCGAGGAGGGUCUCCGGGAAGCCCCGAUGGGUGUCAUCAGGGGUGCAGCCCCUCUGCAGAGGGCAGAGCAGGGAUCCCCCCUCGGGGGUGCAGGGUCACCCCGCCGUUCCCCACCGGCCCUGCGCAGCGGGUACCGGGGGGCACAGCAGGGCUCUGGCAGCCCUGCCCCUGCGCUGGUGCCCACCCGCAGGGGUCCUCACGCCUCUGAGCGGCCCGAAACCCGGCCCUCGUCAGUGUAUCUCCACCACGGGCCAGAACCGCCCCACGGAAGGGGCCCCGUUCCACCGGUGUCCCCCAGCAUCAGGGAAGGCCGUUCGUCUCGGGGGGCGCCUUCUCAGAGGGGAUCACCACACAGAGGGACCCCCGUCCCACACACGGGAGUCCUGCCCCACACAGGGGAGUCCCAUCCCGCAGAGGGACCCCCGUCCCACACAGGGGAGUACCGCCCCACACAGAGGAGUCCAGCCCCACACAGAAGGAUCCCCGUCCCACACAGGGGAGUCCCGCCCCACAUAGAAGGAUCCCCGUCCCACACAGAGGAGUCCCGCCCCACACAGAAGGAUCCCCGUCCGUCCCACACAGAGGAGUCCCGCCCCACACAUAGGAGUCCUUCCCCACACCGAAGGAUCCCGUCCCACACAGGGGAGCCCUGCCCCACACAGGACUCCCCGCCCCACAGCGGCAGAGCCGAACAGCCUGCCCGCGCAGCCCUGCCGGUCGGGAGCAGCGCCCCCUGCUGGCCGCCAUGCGGAACGAACACCGCCCCGUGA
This 1119-nucleotide long non-coding RNA is filed under the name Ficedula albicollis (Collared flycatcher). RNAcentral describes it as "lncRNA (ENSFALG00000023097.1)". The record is from RNAcentral. Lineage: Eukaryota; Metazoa; Chordata; Aves; Passeriformes; Muscicapidae.